UACGUAGGUGGCAAGCGUUGUCCGGAUUUACUGGGCGUAAAGAGCGCGUAGGCGGCUCGUUAAGUGAGAAGUGAAAGCUCUGAGCUCAACUCAGAAACCGCUUUUCAUACUGGCGAGCUAGAGUGAUGCAGAGGUGGAUAGAAUUCCCGGUGUAGCGGUGAAAUGCGUUGAUAUCGGGAGGAAUACCCGUGGCGAAGGCGGUCCACUGGGCAUCAACUGACGCUGAGGCGCGAAAGCGUGGGUAGCAAAC
Molecule: ribosomal RNA, 250 nt
Filed under: uncultured bacterium
Lineage: Bacteria
Description: partial 16S ribosomal RNA
Rfam family: Bacterial small subunit ribosomal RNA
Source: RNAcentral